GUGGCACAGAUGUAGCCAGGGCACAGACGGCUGCAUGGUACGGCACAGACGCAGUUGGGACACAGACAGUUACAAGUCGAGAAGUGGUACAAAGUUAGCUGGAAGACAAAUAGUUGCAGAUCGUGGGACAGAUGCAGUCGGAAAGUAGAUGAUUGCGGGCUACAGCACAGGCAUGACUGGAGACAAGCAGCUAUAGAGCUGCAGCACAGGCAUGACUGUAGAGAUAUAUGCGGCAUAGGUGCAAUUAGGGAGACAGGUAGCUAUGGAGUCACGAUAGCGGCAUAGCUUGAUACAGGUGGUUGUGGGAUAGACACGCAGCUGGACUAUGGGCAAAUAUGGGAUUUUGAGAUCCAGGUAGAGGCUGCGUAGUACCGAAAUCAAGGAGGAUAUCUUGAAAGAUGUAGGCUUCAAGUUCUUUUGGUAGCGGAGACACGCAGGGUGCAG
Molecule: long non-coding RNA, 444 nt
Filed under: Elaeis guineensis (African oil palm)
Lineage: Eukaryota; Viridiplantae; Streptophyta; Magnoliopsida; Arecales; Arecaceae
Description: long non-coding RNA (EGUI_LNC028058)
Source: RNAcentral